GACGAACGCUGGCGGCGUGCCUAAUACAUGCAAGUCGAACGCUGAAGGAGGAGCUUGCUCUUCUGGAUGAGUUGCGAACGGGUGAGUAACGCGUAGGUAACCUGCCUGGUAGCGGGGGAUAACUAUUGGAAACGAUAGCUAAUACCGCAUAACAGUAGAUGUUGCAUGACAUUUGCUUAAAAGGUGCAAUUGCACCACUACCAGAUGGACCUGCGUUGUAUUAGCUAGUUGGUGGGGUAACGGCUCACCAAGGCGACGAUACAUAGCCGACCUGUGAGGGUGGUCAGCCACACUGGGACGGAGACACGGCCCAGAGUCCUACGGGAGGCAGCAGUAGGGAAUCGUCGGGAAUGGACGGAAGUCUGAGCGAGAAACGCCGAGUGAGUGAAGAAGGUUUUCGGAUCGUAAAGCUCGGUUGUAAGAGAAGAACGAGUGUGAGAGUGGAAAGUUCACACUGUGACGGUAUCUGACCAGAAAGGGACGGCUAACUACGUG
RNAcentral lists this ribosomal RNA (495 nucleotides) under uncultured bacterium. RNAcentral's name for it is "partial 16S ribosomal RNA". It matches the Rfam family "Bacterial small subunit ribosomal RNA", at positions 28 to 507 of the family's 1533-position model. The record is from RNAcentral.